RNAcentral lists this ribosomal RNA (393 nucleotides) under uncultured bacterium. Its description in RNAcentral is "partial 16S ribosomal RNA". It matches the Rfam family "Bacterial small subunit ribosomal RNA", at positions 523 to 918 of the family's 1533-position model. The record is from RNAcentral.
AUACGGAGGAUGCGAGCGUUAUCCGGAUUUAUUGGGUUUAAAGGGAGCGUAGGUGGGAUAUUAAGUCAGCUGUGAAAGUUUGGGGCUCAACCUUAAAAUUGCAGUUGAUACUGGUUUCCUUGAGUACGGUACAGGUGGGCGGAAUUCGUGGUGUAGCGGUGAAAUGCUUAGAUAUCACGAAGAACUCCGAUCGCGAAGGCAGCUCACCGGGCCGGAACUGACACUGAUGCUCGAAAGUGCGGGUAUCAAACAGGAUUAGAUACCCUGGUAGUCCGCACAGUAAACGAUGAAUACUCGCUGUUUGCGAUACACUGUAAGCGGCCAAGCGAAAGCGUUAAGUAUUCCGCCUGGGGAGUACGCCGGCAACGGUGAAACUUAAAGGAAUUGACGGGG